AAUGAACGCUGGCGGCAGGCUUAACACAUGCAAGUCGGACGAGAUCUUCGGAUCUAGUGGCAGACGGGUGAGGAACACGUGGGAACAUCCCUUUCAGUUCGGAAUAACGUUGGGAAACUAACGCUAAUACCGGAUACGUCCUUCGGGAGAAAGAUUUAUCGCUGAAAGAUUGGCCCGCGUCUGAUUAGCUAGUUGGUGAGGUAACGGCUCACCAAGGCUACGAUCAGUAGCUGAUCUGAGAGGAUGAUCAGCCACAUUGGGACUGAGACACGGCCCAAACUCCUACGGGAGGCAGCAGUGGGGAAUAUUGGACGAUGGGCGCAAGCCUGAUCCAGCCAGGCCGCGUGAGUGACGACGGCCUUCGGGUUGUAAAGCUCUUUUGUCCGGGAAGAUAAUGACUGUACCGGAAGAAUAAGCCCCGGCAAACUUCGUGCCAGCCGCCGCGGUAA
RNAcentral lists this ribosomal RNA (449 nucleotides) under uncultured bacterium. Its description in RNAcentral is "partial 16S ribosomal RNA". It matches the Rfam family "Bacterial small subunit ribosomal RNA", at positions 29 to 523 of the family's 1533-position model. The record is from RNAcentral.